CAGAUUGCUUUGCGGAGAAGAGUACCUGAAGCGCAGAUCACAAGCGAGCCUGAACAGUGAAAGCAGGCGAUCAGUUAAUCAGGGAAGAUGAGCUCCAAACAGCUUUUCAGCGGUUCACGCCACUGAAACGGGCGCACCCGUUACCAUGCCGGGUAUCAAAAUUGGUACCGUUGAGGCAUUGGCAUCAAAACCAGUGCGAAUAAGGGUGGUAACGCGCAAAGUCGCCCCUUGA
RNAcentral lists this non-coding RNA (232 nucleotides) under Lacticaseibacillus paracasei. The record is from RNAcentral. Lineage: Bacteria; Bacillati; Bacillota; Bacilli; Lactobacillales; Lactobacillaceae.